UAUUUUGUGUGGGAAAUGUUUGUUUUUUGUGUUGAUUUCCCUGAUCAGUAGUCUCUGCUCUCUUGAGCUGUUUUUCGUCGGUUGCCAUGGCAACGGGUCGUGUGUAAUACCAACACACAGAGCGAGAAAAGGCAGAAUAAAAGUUGUUGGAGCUAUUUUUUCUUUAUUUCAUUAUCCAUUUGAACUUUGUUACUUUAUUCACAAAGAGAAUUGAUGUCACAAAGAGGAAAAAAGGCAAUUCCUAACAGAGAAAUAGAUUGAGCAGUUUUUUGAGUUGAUCAGACAAAGCAUCAAGAAUGAGUGAGAGCAGCACCGCAAUGUCUUCUCAGAAGGAACCACAACCGACCUUUCCUAGAGAGGCAGAGAAGCUGGAACGAAUCUUGAAAAGAGUCAGCGUGAUAUCGCUUGAGAUACAGACACUCAAUAAAACGAUAGAGGACAUGAAGAGUCAAAUUACCAACAUGGAACAAGCUCUACGUGAAAAAGAUGAAGAGCUAAAAAGCAAGAGUGAAGCAAACACCACCUUGGAGCUGACAAUCGCAACCCUGAUGCAGGAGAACACGACCUUGAGGCAGCAGAGCACAAUUUAUGAGAAAAUGAGCGACAUCUUUCAGCACAAAAACGAAGACUUGGAGCGAAAAAGCACGACUGACAAGCUGAGGAGCGACACGCUGGAGCAGACAAUGUUCCGUGAGCAGGACGAUCACCGUGAACAUUUGAGGGAAUUACGCGCCCUUGAACAGGACUUCGAGCGCUUAGCGGAGGCAAGCAAUAUCUUGAUGCGGGAGAAUUCCCACUUGUGGAAUCGUAAAGCCACCUUGCAGAAGAAAAUCACCACCUUGAAGAAGAAUAUCACAACCUUGAAGAAGAAUAUCACAACCUUGGAGCAGGAAAAUACCAUAUUGGAGGAGGAAAACACUGCCUUGGAGCGUAUAAAUACCGAUCUGCAGCUUUAAGUGGAACAGCUGAGCCAAAGGUUGAGGGACAGAGAGGAGCAGCAGAACCAGCAGCCAUCUGAAUUGGAAACACCCGAAGACAGUCAGUCUCUUUCAGACACGCCACAGGAGCAGCCAUCUGUAUUCAGACAUGUGGUCAGGGGCUUCACCAAUACAUUUGUGAAAAUGUACACAACAGGCACACUGAGGUAUUGGGUUGAACUUUAGUACGUCUAAAUAAAGAAGCGUCAUGAGGGCUCCAGGCUUCAUACUUGAUUAUUGGUUGCAGAAAAGCUUGAGGACAGCAGGAUUGCAGUGUCAGGAGCUUGACACUUGGGGGCUGAUGGCGGAAGAGUUAAUCACUUCAAAGAUGUUGGCAGGAGAGCUUGAGGCCCGCAGGACUGGGGUGCUAUGGAAACUUAACGCCAUCGAACUCAGGUCUCCUUCGUCACUAGACAAUCAGACUCGCUGGUCUCCGGACUGACCUCCAGGGCUUUGUGGCGARUCCCUUUGGUCUCUCGGCCGACCUCAAGGGUUUUUUGUGUGUCUCGUCGGACUUCCGGAGCCUCGUCAUGGGUCCCAUUGGCCUCCCGGUUCCUGCUCUGCCGCCGGCAGACCGGUCCCCACCUCAGGUGUUCGUCUGCCUCCCGAGCCGCUCGCUCUGCAGCUUCUCGACUUUUU
Non-coding RNA from Poecilia reticulata (guppy), 1616 nucleotides. Lineage: Eukaryota; Metazoa; Chordata; Actinopteri; Cyprinodontiformes; Poeciliidae. The record is from RefSeq and is a predicted model, not a curated record.